Cinara cedri is the source of this 453-nucleotide non-coding RNA. The record is from the annotation of a GenBank genome assembly. Lineage: Eukaryota; Metazoa; Arthropoda; Insecta; Hemiptera; Aphididae.
CAUGGUACCUAAAUUAAUUUGUUUUCUUUCAAUUUGUAAUUGGAUAUGGUGUAACAUAGUGACCCACCAGUUUCUGGUUGGCUUUUGUCUUCAACUUUGGAUUGCCAUUCUGAAAGCAUUAGUAACCAACUUUGACUGAGAUUGUUAUUGUAAACAAAUAUAAAUUACUAUAAACUAAUUAUAAGGAUUUUAUUUACAAAUUAAACAGUUUUAUUUUCUCACCAAUACAUAGGAUAUUUUGAUAAGUUCCUCAGUGCCACGUAUUUCAAAUAAAAUUAUGAUAGUCACUGCUGUAUGUUUAUUUGUUAUUGCUACCUAUUAAUCAUUUCAAAUUGACAAAAAAUAAUUUGUUCCCCUAAUUAAACAAUUCAACAAUAUAAUAAAUUUAUAAAAAUUAUAUAAAGUGGUCGUAUUACGUAAAAAUAAUUUAUUUAAAUAGGAGUGAUUACUUAA